AUGAACCUCUCCAACUAAACUGUGAACGCAUUACUCUGGAGUUCAUAUCAAUCACUGAUGGAAAGGAAGCCAUUGCCAGAGCAGCUAAUUUUCUUCUUGAAAAUAAGUGGAGAAAAACCAACAUGAGCGGUGAUCACAACCGGUGCUUUUCUGAAUCUCAGAUGACUGAGGCUUUAAAAGCAGUUGGUUGUGGAGGGCCUGAUCCUGACCUCAUUUUAGUAUAUGGGCCUACAAGAUGUCACUUAGGGUUUCCUGCAUGGAGAAUCCGCUACACAGAGAUUCUACACAUGGG
Molecule: unclassified non-coding RNA, 292 nt
Filed under: Hevea brasiliensis (rubber tree)
Lineage: Eukaryota; Viridiplantae; Streptophyta; Magnoliopsida; Malpighiales; Euphorbiaceae
Source: RNAcentral